Gossypium arboreum is the source of this 357-nucleotide long non-coding RNA. RefSeq lists it as uncharacterized. The record is from RefSeq and is a predicted model, not a curated record. NCBI's taxonomy places the organism in Eukaryota, Viridiplantae, Streptophyta, Magnoliopsida, Malvales, Malvaceae. The transcript is spliced from 2 exons.
GGGUGAAAAGAACAAAGUUUUGUCCAUCUUUGUUCAUCAUAGCCGAAAGUUAGAGAAGAGAAAGGAGAGGAGAAAGCUCUUGAAUGUUCGGUCACUUGGGGAAGAAAAUUGAAGGUAAUCCCUAACCAUAGUGGGCUUGGAGCUGUGAGGGAAUUCGGAGUGGCCACCCAUUCUGAAAGUUUGAUUUUCUUCUGGUGAACUGGACAUCCUUUUAUUUACGUUGAAGUUUUGGGUUUUUAAAUGUAAUAAGGCCGCUUAAUUAUUUUUGAUGGUUUUAAUAUGUAUUACUAAGAUAGGUAUUACUUAUUUUAACUGUUGAAAUUGGAUAGCUUUAGGGCGCGUUUUCAAAAAUAACAA